CGGUGUCGUCCCUGACCAUCGCCGACGCGUUCAUUGCAGCCGGCGAGAGCUCAGCUCCGACCCCGCCGCGCCCCGCGCUUCCCAGGAGAGACCAUUUGUUUGUGACUAUGAAGGGUGUGGCAAGGCCUUCAUCAGGGACUACCAUCUGAACCGCCACAUUCUGACUCACACCGGAGAAAAGCCGUUUGUUUGUGCAGCUAAUGGCUGUGAUCAAAAAUUCAACACAAAAUCAAACUUGAAGAAACAUUUUGAACGCAAACAUGAAAAUCAACAAAAACAAUAUAUAUGCGGUUUUGAAGACUGUAAGAAGACCUUUAAGAAACAUCAGCAGCUGAAAAUCCAUCAGUGCCAGCAUACCAAUGAACCUCUAUUCAAGUGUACCCAGGAAGGAUGUGGGAAACACUUUGCAUCACCCAGCAAGCUGAAACGACAUGCCAAGGCCCACGAGGGCUAUGUAUGUC
RNAcentral lists this small RNA (461 nucleotides) under Pongo abelii (Sumatran orangutan). RNAcentral describes it as "processed transcript". Lineage: Eukaryota; Metazoa; Chordata; Mammalia; Primates; Hominidae. The record is from RNAcentral.